This 96-nucleotide non-coding RNA is filed under the name Candidatus Howiella intestinavium. RNAcentral's name for it is "SAM riboswitch (S box leader)". It matches the Rfam family "SAM riboswitch aptamer (S box leader)". From Rfam's summary of the family: The SAM riboswitch is found upstream of a number of genes which code for proteins involved in methionine or cysteine biosynthesis in Gram-positive bacteria. The SAM riboswitch acts at the level of transcription termination control. The record is from RNAcentral. Lineage: Bacteria; Bacillati; Bacillota; Clostridia.
CCUUAUCAAGAGCGGCGGAGGGAACAGGCCCUGCGAUGCCCGGCAACCUGGCGUUUGCCAAGGUGCCAAAUCCUGCGGUAUAUCCGGAAGAUGAGG